Molecule: ribosomal RNA, 234 nt
Filed under: uncultured bacterium
Lineage: Bacteria
Description: partial 16S ribosomal RNA
Rfam family: Bacterial small subunit ribosomal RNA
Source: RNAcentral
UGAGUAACCUGCCCUUAACUCUGGGAUAAGCCUGGGAAACUGGGUCUAAUACCGGAUAUGACUCCUCAUCGCAUGGUGGGGGGUGGAAAGCUUUAUUGUGGUUUUGGAUGGACUCGCGGCCUAUCAGCUUGUUGGUGAGGUAAUGGCUCACCAAGGCGACGACGGGUAGCCGGCCUGAGAGGGUGACCGGCCACACUGGGACUGAGACACGGCCCAGACCUCCUACGGGAGCAG